Molecule: long non-coding RNA, 688 nt
Organism: Quercus robur (English oak)
Lineage: Eukaryota; Viridiplantae; Streptophyta; Magnoliopsida; Fagales; Fagaceae
Exons: 3
Source: RefSeq, a predicted model, not a curated record
UGCACUUACUUUUCUUUUCUUAUAUUAUAUAUAUAGAUACACACAAUUCUGUCCCUAAUUAGCCCUCCCACACAAUAGCUAAACGCCUAGUUCCACUGCUGAAAAUAGAGACUUACAGCUGGAGGCUGAAAGGUUGGACGUCCUCUGAGCAUUAAUCUCACUGGUUGGGUGGCAUCAGCAGGUGGAAUCUUUAAGAUUUGGAAUCUUUUAUUUUAGGGUUUAGGGUUGAGGGAGAGAGAGGGAGAUACAUUGGUGCAGAAAACAUGAAUGUGGUCCAUACAAAUGGACCAAACUACCUUCCCUUGAUCAUGGACAGGGGUUUUGUUGGUGUAUUGCAUGAUUGGUGUGAAGCCUUUCCAACGUAUCCUAGAACUUAUGACUUGGUGCAUGCAGCCGGACUGCUAUCCCUUGAAAAUGUCCAGUAGCGCCGUUGCACCACACUUGAUCUGUUCACUGAGAUUGAUCGAAUACUUUGUCCAGAGGUGCAUUUAGAUGGUACUCCUAACAAUUUAGAAGAAAGUGAUUUCUGUGAUUUUAGCUUUCUGGACAGAGGGCUUUUCAGUUCAGAUAUUUCUGUUUGUGUAAGUUUGCUGCAUACAUGAAGAUACUUGGUAUUUUAUGCUUUAAACUUUAGUCCAAGUUGUCUUUUAUUUUAUAAAUAUUGUGAGGGAAGUCAAUUGGAAAUAAC